This is a non-coding RNA of Otolemur garnettii (small-eared galago), 290 nucleotides long. The record is from Rfam. NCBI's taxonomy places the organism in Eukaryota, Metazoa, Chordata, Mammalia, Primates, Galagidae.
CCUGGGCACAGUGGUUUAGACUUGUAGUCCCAGCUACCAGGGAGGCUGAGGUGGGAAGAUCCCUUGAGCCCAGGAGUUCUGGGUUAUUGAGCACUAUGCUGAUGGGGUGCCUGCACAGUACACUGUCAAUAUAAUGCUAGGAGCAGGGAAUCACCAGGUUGCCUAAAUAGAGGUGAACCAGCCCAGGUGAAAGUGAUAGCUCAAAACUCCUGCGUUGAUCAGUAGUGGGGUCAUGCCUGUGAAUAGCCACUGCACUCUACCCUGGGUAAGAUAGUGGGACCCAAUCUCCU